CUUGUGUGUAGAGAACCACCAAAGAAAAGGACAAAGACAACCAAAACAGCUGAGUUAUCCAUUGUGCCUUGCGAAGAUGGAGUACCAACAAGAAUGUGUUUUCCCCCAAGCAAAAGCUUGGAAACUACAACCAAAAAAAGGGGGAAACAUGCUAACUCUAGUGCUGGAGCAUCAAAAAGCAAAAGCUUGAAGAAUACAAACAAAAAGGGAAAAGGGGGGAA
Triticum dicoccoides is the source of this 221-nucleotide long non-coding RNA. RefSeq lists it as uncharacterized. Lineage: Eukaryota; Viridiplantae; Streptophyta; Magnoliopsida; Poales; Poaceae. The record is from RefSeq and is a predicted model, not a curated record. The transcript is spliced from 3 exons.